RNAcentral lists this ribosomal RNA (445 nucleotides) under uncultured bacterium. Its description in RNAcentral is "partial 16S ribosomal RNA". It matches the Rfam family "Bacterial small subunit ribosomal RNA", at positions 331 to 793 of the family's 1533-position model. The record is from RNAcentral.
CCAGACUCCUACGGGAGGCAGCAGUGGGGGAUAUUGCACAAUGGGGGGAACCCUGAUGCAGCGACGCCGCGUGGGUGAAGAAGCGCCUCGACGCGUAAAGCCCUGUCAGCAGGGAAGAAAAUGACGGUACCUGAAGAAGAAGCCCCGGCUAACUACGUGCCAGCAGCCGCGGUAAUACGUAGGGGGCAAGCGUUAUCCGGAUUUACUGGGUGUAAAGGGGGCGCAGACGGCGAUGCAAGCCAGGAGUGAAAGCCCGGGGCCCAACCCCGGGACUGCUCUUGGAACUGCGUGGCUGGAGUGCAGGAGGGGCAGGCGGAAUUCCUGGUGGAGCGGUGAAAUGCGUAGAUAUUAGGAGGAACACCAGUGGCGAAGGCGGCUUUCUGGACUGUAACUGACACUGAGGUACGAAAGCGUGGGGAGCAAACAGGAUUAGAUACCCCUGUAG